GGCUGGAGACAGUGAGGAGUAAUGUGAGAUGAGGAAGAUAGACUGGAAAAUAAACACAGAUAAAGAGUGGAAAGGAAAACUACAGUGGAGAAAGGAACACAGAUGGAGGAAGAUAAGUGGUUACCUAGCAACGCUGACCUCACUUCGUAGGAUUGGCUCCCUGCCCGGCGCAGCCUACUGACGUCAUCGUUCCGGGACGAGUGCUCUCGUGCUGACGGACGGGGCGCGGGACAGGUUGAACCAAGAUGUAUGCCGGCCUGAGGGAAUCUCGCCCUGACCAAGGAGUAUGGUGCUAUGAAUCAGGCACAUUCUUGAUGAUAGUUGGAUUCAUCUUUUUGUUUUCUUUGGAUCAUGUUUGAACAGCAUACAGCAGACCAGACAUUAACUUUGAAAGCGAACAUAAAAAGAUCCAGUAGAUCACUCUAUGAACUGGAUUCAGUUUGGGAGAAAAAGAAUAUUGGACAUAACACUUAAUAAUACAUAGAAGCCAAGGGUGGAUUGUAACAGUAUUGAUUUCUGACCUACAGCUAACUAUUUGUCUUCUAUGUAUAAAAUGUGUACACAU
Molecule: long non-coding RNA, 565 nt
Organism: Pseudophryne corroboree (corroboree frog)
Lineage: Eukaryota; Metazoa; Chordata; Amphibia; Anura; Myobatrachidae
Exons: 3
Source: RefSeq, a predicted model, not a curated record